CAUGGAGAGAAGGGUGGAUGCUGCGCCUUUAGCUUGCUGAAUCCAGAGCCGGUGUCCUUGAGUGCGAGAGGUGAUGUGACCACUCGUGCUCUGAGGUGGCUCCAGCAGCUGCAGGAAUUCACCUUUCUCUGCUACCUUCUCACAAUCCUGACUCUGCUUCUCUAUCCUAACAACAGGAGCCCAAAGAGAGGACUUCGGGCCUAAUCUGAAGCCCUUCUAAUCCAGCCAAGUCCUCGUGUUAGUCCACAGGCCACCCAGGAGAUGCUCAGCCUGGUGGAUGCCACCUGGCCACCCUUCGCUUGCUCCCAGCUGCAUCACCCUGGGAAGUGACCAGAGUCGCCGUCCAGCUUUGCCAGGCACCGUCUCACUGGGAAGAUGCCACUGGAACCAGCUUCAAAGGAGCUUCAUCCCCUUCAACGCCAUCUUCAUGGGAUCCCGGCUAUGCCUGUGCACCUCGGCAAGCUCUCCUUUGCUGUGCGCUCCCUGGGAAGAGCCUGUGUUGUUCUGCACUGACCUGAAACGAUUUGUCUGUGAAAGGCAUUUUUGUUCCUACAGCAGGAGGAAAUUUCCAAAGGAGCAGUCACUUUGAAUCAAAAUCUUUCCCUUAGAAACUGGUCCAUGUGGUUUGGGGAGAUUUUUCCAUUUCUUUUUGAACUUUUCCGGGACGUGACUUGGAUGAAGUGGGAUGAUUUUGCAGAGCGCUUUGCUGAACUGCUGUUGUUUUGUUCUGCUUUUCUGCAUGCAUUGAGCCCCGAGCCCUGCAUUCCUGCUGCUGGGCAAGGGAGUGGUCCCACAGGCAGGGUUUUGGCUUUGGGGGCAAAGAAGCAGAUUUGAGGAAAAAUCAUGUGUGUCCAUGAUUUACAUGCAAAGAGCAAGAAUUGCCUAUUUCCGGGCAAAUACCUUCUCAAAGGAAUGGAGAACUGGACAAUUCAUGACCUCUUCUUGUCCAAAUACAGGCAGGAUUUGAACUCUGGAGUCAAUACAAGGAAUGUGCAGACCUGGAGCCCCUGAACAGCUCUGAUAGGGAAAGGAUGCCCAGUGGUCAUGACCAUCAUGGAAAGAUAUUUCGGUUCUCAGCUCUCUCCCCGAUGCCCUCAUGAUUUCAUCCAGACUUUAGCUCUCCAUCACCCACCAAGAGGAGGGUGGUCCAUGCUGCAGGAGCAGUGAAGAGAGGAUGAGGCCAGCCAAGAUGUGCCUUGAUCCCCCAGGCUCCCCUAAACCACGUCUAGCCUCUUUCUCAUCAAGCUGAAGGUUCUCAAAGACAAGAGGAGAACAACCACCAGAACAAGAAGACAGAACUGGAGAUUUCCAUCUCCAAGGUUGCCCAGAUGGGUCUCUUGUUGCAGGCAGCUUCAAGCAUCAUUUCUUAGCUCACAUCAAUAAGGAGCCUCAAGAUGUUGUUUCAGAGCAGUUCUCAUCUAAUCACAGGACUCAAGGCACAGGUGCUGAACUGGUGAAUGGGAGCAGGUCUCUCGCCCUCGCAGUCUGCAAAGGGGCUGCUGCCACUGGGCAAUGCUCCCUUGAACCUCCAGCUGCUGCAGGCAGGUGA
Molecule: long non-coding RNA, 1549 nt
Organism: Nothoprocta perdicaria
Lineage: Eukaryota; Metazoa; Chordata; Aves; Tinamiformes; Tinamidae
Exons: 4
Source: RefSeq, a predicted model, not a curated record